CCGUCAUGAAGCCAUGUCCACCAUGUUUCACUUCACCUUACAUUACGCCUCACGUAUCACAAGUACUAAUAACCAACUAUGCAUAUUAGUAAAAUACAGGAAUGGAUCUGUAGUACAUCAAUAUCUACACAACAAAUUUGUUUUGCCGAGCGACUUGUAUGCUUGCCUUCCCAAAACCAAUCUGACACAUCCUGAUCGAACCCUUUGGUCCAUAGACAAAUUAUAGUAAUUAUGCUCUCAAAAGGAGAAUUGACAGAGAUAAAGAAAAAAAGUGAAAUCCAAUAGCAAAAUUUUAAAACACACGUAUCCUCAUACAACUUCGGCAUCAAAUAAGCCAGCCAAACAACAUAAAUAAUAACUCAAAGUUACCAUUUUGAACCUAGCUUGUUUGAAUUCCAAGUGUUUGGCCUUUAUAUAGUCCCUUGAGCCUUGUAAAUCAUUGCUGUUGGGAGACUGUACAACAACUCCACCAUGAACAAUUCAACAUAUUUACAAGCACCUAUUCUUGUACGAAAUUCUUAUCAGAAGCUUAUUGCAAUGCUUUAGGUGUUGCCCAAAGGCCCACUAUUUUAGUAGCAUUCCGUUUACUCCUUUCCCAACGUGACCACUUUCUACCAGUUCACAGAGUUAGUGACGAGAAUCUAGUGAUUGCAGCCGAUUUAAGCAAUACUAUGUGUAGGUCGUUGGCAGCCCACCACACCUGUUAGAGCUCACGGAGCCAUUGUUGAGCUAGGACUGCAAAAUACAUGAAAGUUUACCAACUUAAUUGGUUACCCUUGCGAUAUACAUAGCUAAGUUUUGAACUAUAUAGAUAGAGUGCUUAAUCAUAAUUACUGCAAAUCUGAAGGUGCACAAUUCCAAUUAAAUUUGAUGCAUGGGAGAUGACUUACCUUCUUCAUGACCCUGGUAGUUCUCACUGAGCAUUGCGAUAAUUGCAACACUCCAAAUAAAUUCAAUGCCAAAGAGAUGAGUUGCCUUCUUGGCAAUGAACCCUCAAUAGUGAGUUUCUAAGGUCCCUGAAUGAACAUAUGUGGAAGAUAUUCUACAGUUCUAGAUAUAUGGCACAACCUCAGUUACAGAAUGGUUAGUAUACUUACAAUCUAACUGAGAGGCCCCACAUAUGCAAAUUCAGACCUCCGAUAGGAAACACUGAAUCUCAGCAGGAAAGAUCAAAUACAUGCAUCCCUGUUCGAGGUAUUAAUAUGGGUAAUUCUUAAUUGAUGCGCUAGAUGGUAUCUUCUCAUCCAAUUAUAAAAGAACUCGUGAUUAUAAGAAAAUCUUACUAUAUUCCAUCAAAAUAUACAAUCCUGUGAGGCUAAGAUAACAGCAAGAGCAUAAAAUUCUACAAAAAAAACAACUUGUCACGACAUUUUAGAAAUAGUUAAUAUUUUCUCACUGGAAAUGUCUAUUUGUGAGUUGUAUACUUAACAUGGAAUAUACUGAUCUAUUUGUUGAGUUCUUAGUUUCAGAUGUUCGUAUGCGACUUUAUAUUUGCUCUGGGUAAAGAAUGAGCAGAAUAUCUUUUCUUGAAUAUAGCUUCUUAUACCCAUUUUGCUGGUUCAUGAUAACCUAAUGGUGAUCUCUUGUUGUAGCCCUUAUUUCACUUGAUUGAAUAAACAAAAGCAUCACAUACAAAAUCUUAUGCAGGUUCUAACAAGAAUGAAGUGAGAUAGACUACUGAUUCUACAAUGUACAAUAUCUGGUUAAAUGAUAUUUGGCCAAGUAUUUUUUUUUCUGCUUCUAUCAUCUGUGAGCUCAUUAUUAAGUGUUAGAAAAUAAGUUACUUUAAGUUGAAUUGAAGUACUCAAAUUAGAGCUAGUGCAGUAUGCCACAAAGAAAAU
This 1841-nucleotide long non-coding RNA is filed under the name Triticum aestivum (bread wheat). RNAcentral describes it as "long non-coding RNA (TAES_LNC020512)". The record is from RNAcentral. Lineage: Eukaryota; Viridiplantae; Streptophyta; Magnoliopsida; Poales; Poaceae.